GGAGAUAUUGCACAUUACUAAGUUGCAUGUUGUCACGGGCUCAGUGCAAUUUAGUGUGUGCGAUACUUUC
Molecule: microRNA precursor, 70 nt
Filed under: Chlamydotis macqueenii (Macqueen's bustard)
Lineage: Eukaryota; Metazoa; Chordata; Aves; Otidiformes; Otididae
Description: Chlamydotis undulata macqueenii mir-32 microRNA precursor family
Rfam family: mir-32 microRNA precursor family
Source: Rfam by way of RNAcentral